UCCUACGUGUCAGUACUUUCGUUUUAACUAUCUUAUACUUUCAGUUGCGUGUAAUGUCACGCUAGAAAUCAAUGCAAUUAGUUAUCGUAAUGCGAAUAUUUCUUUAACGAAUUUUUUUUUUAUUCUACAAUCCUGCUGUUUUUGCAACAGUAUAAUAAUAACAAUUAAGUAUUAUGAGAAAAAAAAGUCUGUUUAGAUACAGUAUGAAACUGUUCCUUUUUUUAAUUUCCACAUACCUACAUUGAUGCAUUUUGAGUACAGCUAGUUUUUCAUGGAUCGACAGCUCUAAAUUGAUUUUUGAUCAAAAUAUACAGAUGAAAUAAAUAGACAUAUGAUAUUUAUCGACCAUCUGUUAGAAGAGUACAUGGUAUAAACUGUUGUACAGUAUACGAAACUGAGGAGAUAUUCGUUUGAAUAUAAGAGAUUCUUAAUCAUGGAUUACAUAUAAUAACAGGUUGUGUUGGAAAAUUAGAGGGAACAGUUUUGUAUUAUGUCUCUAAUAUAGUGUUGAAUCAUGCUUGUGAUUCUGUCAGUGCUACAAACAGGUUUUAUUAAGAGCAUACAAAAUAUGGUAUUGUAUUAAACCAUUUAACAGCUGGAAAUUGCAUGUACAUAAGCAGCCAGUGCAGACUCAGUCAUGGAUAUUAUCAAUAUGGUUUAUCCAAGUAUACUUAACCAAAAUCUAAUCAUAGUUUCGUCCAAAGCUCAUGUUUACAUAUUCCAUACUUAUCCAUUAUAGUUUGAGCAAUAUCCUGAGCAUGUACAGUGCCGCAGAACGCGUUGCGAUUUUCGAAUACGUCUAUGAAUUCGCGUUAAAAAAGAUGGAAGUAAUUUAAAAACAUGAAGACCGUAUAUUUUGUAUAUACUCGCUUACAUUUGUCACACGCAUCAGAGAAAAUUUAUUGCAUAUUUGCCUUCUAUUCUUCUUUUUUAACUUCAACUGUGAUUUUUCAUUCGAUUGUUUUCUUUGGUUUCGUUAUAUGUAGUUUGCGGGAGAGCUAUUACGGCUGUGAGAUUAUUGUUUGACCAGCAUAUAAGUUUUCAACCAAUUUUAUUCUUAUCCCGGCGAACAAAAUUCAAUCUCCCAAUCGUAGUUACUGAUCGUGAAUAUAAAAGUCUUAAAUAAUUCUAUUGAAUACGUUGCGUAUAUACGUAUUAAAGACUCCACUAUGCCGUUUCUUUAUAUUUAGAACAUCCGUGUUCCCCCGCCGAUAACACGCAAUGCUUAGAUCUUCUUUUAAUUUUCCGCUUGGCACAGUUGUGUGUGAUUUGAGUUUGCAAUGCUUUGUCCAAAUCGCAACAACAGAAUAUGUCCUGCAAAAUUUUAUUUUCACACGAACCACAAAAAAGAAACGUGAACGUGGAACUCGCUUAUCGCACAAAAAAGUGUGUGUACACGUAGUUAAACGCACAAGUGUAAUGGUUGCACCAUUGCCUAUAUAUAUAUAUAUGUAUAUAUUUAUGAAUAUGAGGAAGAGAAAAAAAAA
Long non-coding RNA from Osmia lignaria (orchard mason bee), 1487 nucleotides. RefSeq lists it as uncharacterized. The record is from RefSeq and is a predicted model, not a curated record. Lineage: Eukaryota; Metazoa; Arthropoda; Insecta; Hymenoptera; Megachilidae.